Passer domesticus (house sparrow) is the source of this 435-nucleotide long non-coding RNA. RefSeq lists it as uncharacterized. NCBI's taxonomy places the organism in Eukaryota, Metazoa, Chordata, Aves, Passeriformes, Passeridae. The record is from RefSeq and is a predicted model, not a curated record. The transcript has 3 exons.
GCUUUCCAUCACUGUGACUACCUUGGAGAAGGUCUUUGAGGGACCUGCUGCUCCUCAUACUCAUGUGUAUUAGACUUCUGAGUACCUUACAUACACAGCCCAAGGUUUGCUGAGUCUUUGAGCAACAAUAACUACUACUGUUUGGUUUUAAAAUGCAAUUAGUAAUCUCUCCAGAGCAUACUGUUCAAUCUAUAAUUUUCUGGCUGCUGUGACUACUAUUUUAAGACUUCAAAGACACCUAACAAGCAAAACUUCAACUUCCUGGUAUCCUGAUAGAAACUCAUUCAAUCAGCCAGCUGAACAACAGCUGAACAGAAUCCAGCUGGACAAUUUUCACUUGGAAAGUAAUCUGAAAUCCUACCAGCAUGUCACAAGAAUUGUAGCAUCACAUGCAGCAAGAUGAUUUAUUUUUUCAUUAUGGUAGAUGUUUAAAAA